Molecule: ribosomal RNA, 253 nt
Filed under: uncultured bacterium
Lineage: Bacteria
Description: partial 16S ribosomal RNA
Rfam family: Bacterial small subunit ribosomal RNA
Source: RNAcentral
UACAGAGGGUGCGAACGUUGCUCGGAAUUACUGGGCGUAAAGCGCGUGUAGGCGGUCCGUUAAGUUGGUAGUGAAAUCCCAUGGCUCAACCAUGGAAGUGCUGCCAAAACUGGCGGGCUGGAGUGCCGGAGAGGGUGGCGGAAUUCCCAGUGUAGAGGUGAAAUUCGUAGAUAUUGGGAGGAACACCGGUGGCGAAGGCGGCCACCUGGACGGUAACUGACGCUGAGACGCGAAAGCGUGGGGAGCAAACAGG